CUCUUCUGUUUUUGUUGCUGAAAUGUGGGGAUUUGAAUUUUUCAGAUGGGCAUUGCAAUUGCUGGGAUGGUUGCCUUGAGCUCAAACCAACUGAGGGAGGAGAAGGCGGCUUCGGAUGAUAAGGAUGUCCGGAUCACAACUUUGGACACGGAUCUAAAGUUGGCCAAGUCCUCAGUUGACGAUUUGGGCGAGAAGUUGAAGGCAGCUGAGACUC
This 214-nucleotide long non-coding RNA is filed under the name Daucus carota (carrot). Its description in RNAcentral is "long non-coding RNA (DCAR_LNC005015)". Lineage: Eukaryota; Viridiplantae; Streptophyta; Magnoliopsida; Apiales; Apiaceae. The record is from RNAcentral.